GUGUCCUUAUAAGAGCAGAGGACACACAGAGGGACAGAUACCCGGAGGGCAGAUGCCGUGUGAGGGGAGUGAUGGAUCACCCAGCACAGCCAGCCACCGGCAGCAGCUGGGAGAGCUCUGGCUUUCAGAUCAAUCAACGUUCUAAAAACAGAUGAAGAACGGGCAGGCUCUGGCUGGCUGCACGUCCACCCCCGGGCUGAGUGAGCACUGCUGGAACAGCUUCUGACGUACGAGGCGGUGGAGGAAGAACUCCAACUCCUCUGCCCGCCGCCGAGUUCAUCCCCACUCAGGCCCCUCCCACCAGCCCUUUCCCUUCUCUGAGUGUCCAUCGCUUUCCUUCGGAGCGCCAACAAUCCCCAAGGCAACUCA
Oryctolagus cuniculus (rabbit) is the source of this 369-nucleotide long non-coding RNA. RefSeq lists it as uncharacterized. NCBI's taxonomy places the organism in Eukaryota, Metazoa, Chordata, Mammalia, Lagomorpha, Leporidae. The record is from RefSeq and is a predicted model, not a curated record.